GGAGCGGGCUUGCUCGCGAAGGUGGAGUGUCAGUCAACAUCAUUGUUGCCUGACACUCCACCUUCGCGAGCAAGCCCGCUCC
This 82-nucleotide non-coding RNA is filed under the name Pseudomonas sp. 478. RNAcentral also lists the same sequence under 1 other name. The record is from RNAcentral. Lineage: Bacteria; Pseudomonadati; Pseudomonadota; Gammaproteobacteria; Pseudomonadales; Pseudomonadaceae.